UUGUCUCUUGGAGUUCCUCUGAGUGCUUCAUAUACGAGAAAUCAUCUAUAAGAUAAGAUAGUUUCUUCAUUUAUGAAGUGUUUGGGGGAACUCUUGGAUUCAA
RNAcentral lists this microRNA precursor (103 nucleotides) under Cicer arietinum (chickpea). RNAcentral describes it as "mir-395 microRNA precursor family". It matches the Rfam family "mir-395 microRNA precursor family". From Rfam's summary of the family: mir-395 was identified in both Arabidopsis thaliana and Oryza sativa computationally and was later experimentally verified. mir-395 is thought to target mRNAs coding for ATP sulphurylases. The mature sequence is excised from the 3' arm of the hairpin. The record is from Rfam by way of RNAcentral. Lineage: Eukaryota; Viridiplantae; Streptophyta; Magnoliopsida; Fabales; Fabaceae.